This 203-nucleotide microRNA precursor is filed under the name Leersia perrieri. Its description in RNAcentral is "MIR812 microRNA precursor family". It matches the Rfam family "MIR812 microRNA precursor family". Lineage: Eukaryota; Viridiplantae; Streptophyta; Magnoliopsida; Poales; Poaceae. The record is from Rfam by way of RNAcentral.
AAUGUUUGUCGCCAUUGAUUUUUUAACACAAGUUUGAUCGUUCGUCUUAUUCAAAAAAUUUACGUAAUUAUUAAUUUUUUCACUAUCAUUUGAUUUAUUGUUAAAUAUAGUUUUAUGCAUACAUAUAAUUUUACAUAUUUUACAAAAGUUUUUGAAUAAGAUGAACGGUCAAACUUGUAUUAAAGUCAACGGUGACAAACAUU